UACGGGGGGGGCAAGCGUUGUUCGGAAUUACUGGGCGUAAAGGGCUCGUAGGCGGCCAACUAAGUCAUGCGUGAAAUCCCUCGGCUUAACCGGGGAACUGCGUCUGAUACUGGAUGGCUUGAGUGUGGGAGAGGGAUGCGGAAUUCCAGGUGUAGCGGUGAAAUGCGUAGAUAUCUGGAGGAACACCGGUGGCGAAGGCGGGUCUCUGGGAAACAACUGACGCUGAGGAACGAAAGCGUGGGUAGCAAACAGG
Molecule: ribosomal RNA, 253 nt
Filed under: uncultured bacterium
Lineage: Bacteria
Description: partial 16S ribosomal RNA
Rfam family: Bacterial small subunit ribosomal RNA
Source: RNAcentral